UGAUGAUAAUGAGGGAAAUUUAUGAGCAUACCCUUAAAUCUUUCCCAAGCUUGGUAGAGAUUGUCUCUAUCUUUCUGCCUAAAACUUAAGAUUUCACUCCUCAAGGG
Molecule: non-coding RNA, 107 nt
Organism: Capsicum annuum
Lineage: Eukaryota; Viridiplantae; Streptophyta; Magnoliopsida; Solanales; Solanaceae
Source: Rfam